This is a long non-coding RNA of Mytilus californianus (California mussel), 773 nucleotides long. RefSeq lists it as uncharacterized. The record is from RefSeq and is a predicted model, not a curated record. NCBI's taxonomy places the organism in Eukaryota, Metazoa, Mollusca, Bivalvia, Mytilida, Mytilidae. The transcript has 3 exons.
CGGAAAUUUAGAUAAAUGAUCACAAGUACUAUUGAUUUUUACAUUUGAUCAACAGUUUCUUCGAUCUAAUAUAUGAUAGUUAUAGAAGUUUCUAAAGUGGACAACAUUCAGAUAUAUUCUGUGCCAGUGGACAAAUGGUAGAUACAAUAGCAAGAUGGCAAUAAUGUGUUUAUGCUGCUCAAGACAAAUCGCUGAAAAGUCAAUAAACAUUUCGUUACAUACUGAAAACUGUACAAACUCAAAAGAAGCCGACAUGACACUCACAUACAUUCGAGAAGUACUCAAAGAUACAAUCAUGGUUUUUGGUAUCCUGUUGAUUGCAUAUGUAACUGCAUUCAUAACAUACAAGGCAUUCACAAGAUAUUGUAAAAGAUCCCACAUACAUACCACAAAGUACAAGAAACCCAUUACUGCCUAGGUACCAUAGCCAUCAAACGAUGAUAAAAGGGAAAGGUUUAUCGAGAAUAUUGUCGUCGAUACUGAACUGUUACAACGAAGAAAUGUAUUGGCUUUUUUGAAUAAACACUGUUUUCGACCUGUCCAAGUUGACGUUAAAUGCCUGAAAGAAAACUUCUAAGCCAUUGUUAGACAUUUCCAGCAAAUCAGUUUUGUUUACUCACAAGAUAAUAUCUGUAGACUGAACAUAUAUUAGUGAUAUGGGAUCAACAGUACCUGGUCAUUGUCAAACUGCAAAAAUGUGUUCAUAAUAACUGAACUAAAAAAAAUCACCAAAUAACUCCUCAUGUAUUAUUAAAAAAUCCUAUGCUUUUAAA